GACGAACGCUGGCGGCGUGCUUAACACAUGCCAGUCGAACGGGCCCGCUCUCUUUUUUGGGGGUGGGUUGAGUGGCGAACGGGUGAGUAUCACGUGAGUAACCUGCCCCCUGCUCCUGGAUAACUGCUUGAAAGGGCGGCUAAUACGGGGUGUGCCGGCUGUUCCGCAUGGGCCUGGUCGGGAUAGUUUCAUCUUCGGGUGUUUCGGUGGGGGAUGGGCUCGCGGCCUAUCAGCUUGUUGGUGGGGUGAUGGCCCACCAAGGCGGUGACGGGUAGCCGGCCUGAGAGGGUGGGCGGCCACACUGGGACUGAGACACGGCCCAGACUCGUGCGGGAGGCAGCAGUGGGGGGUAUUGCACAAUGGGCGGAAGCCUGAUGCAGCGACGUCGCGUGAGGGAUGGAGGCCUUCGGGUUGUGAACCUCUUUCUCCGGUGGUGAAGGCCCUGUCCGUUGCGGCGGGGUUGACGGUAGCCGGGUAUGAAGCGCCGGCUAACUACGUG
This 499-nucleotide ribosomal RNA is filed under the name uncultured bacterium. Its description in RNAcentral is "partial 16S ribosomal RNA". It matches the Rfam family "Bacterial small subunit ribosomal RNA", at positions 28 to 507 of the family's 1533-position model. The record is from RNAcentral.